Molecule: transfer RNA, 77 nt
Filed under: Hadesarchaea archaeon
Lineage: Archaea; Methanobacteriati; Hadarchaeota (SeqCode); Hadarchaeia (SeqCode)
Description: tRNA-Met
Rfam family: tRNA
About the family: Transfer RNA (tRNA) molecules are approximately 80 nucleotides in length. Their secondary structure includes four short double-helical elements and three loops (D, anti-codon, and T loops).
Source: RNAcentral
GCCGGGGUAGCUCAGCCGGUCAGAGCGUGGGACUCAUAAUCCCAAGGCCGCGGGUUCAAGUCCCGCCCCCGGCACCA